RNAcentral lists this unclassified non-coding RNA (351 nucleotides) under Athalia rosae (coleseed sawfly). RNAcentral describes it as "misc RNA ENSAEAG00005011461.1". The record is from RNAcentral. Lineage: Eukaryota; Metazoa; Arthropoda; Insecta; Hymenoptera; Athaliidae.
AUUUUUUUCUUCAGAUACACGUUCUUGAAUCGUUUGAGAAAGAAUUUUUCUUCGUCAAGAAGCGCGGUGGAAGACCUCGGACUUCUUAAAUACUGGAUCGGUUUACUGGCACCGCCCCUGCCGAGCUGUGAUUCGUACUCAGCGAUAAAAGGCCAGAUUAUAACACCUUGGAUACAAAGGAGCGCAUGUUGGUCUACCCAAAGAUUGCAUUGCUGCAGGUUAAUUAGCUUCUGGGCUGUGAUUUUUACCUACUUCUGUCCCUACGUUACUCAUGUAACCAUAAGAAUAUGUAACACUAAUCCUUGCCAAUCGCUGCAUGAGGAGAGAAGCUACUCGUCGAUCAAAAAGUGG